This 406-nucleotide ribosomal RNA is filed under the name uncultured bacterium. RNAcentral's name for it is "partial 16S ribosomal RNA". It matches the Rfam family "Bacterial small subunit ribosomal RNA", at positions 30 to 526 of the family's 1533-position model. The record is from RNAcentral.
AUUGAACGCUGGCGGCAUGCUUCACACAUGCAAGUCGAACGAGUGGCGGACGGGUGAGUAAUACAUGGGAAUGUGCCUGCUGGAGGGGGAUAACUACGGGAAACAGUAGCUAAUACCGCAUACUAUAGGAUGAGCCCAGAUGGGAUUAGCUAGUUGGUGGGGUAAAGGCUGACCAAGGCGACGAUCCGUAGCUGGUCUGCGAGGAUGACCAGCCACACUGGGACGGAGACACGGCCCAGACUCCUACGGGAGGCAGCAGUGGGGAAUAUUGCACAAUGGGGGCAACCCUGAUGCAGCCAUGCCGCGUGUGUGAUGAAGGCCUUCGGGUUGUAAAGUACUGUCAGCUGAGAGGCGUUACCUACAGAAGAAGCACCGGCUAACUACGUGCCAGCAGCCGCGGUAAUUC